GUGAAUUUAGUUUAAUAGAAAAAACAUUUGACUUGCAAUCAGAAGAUCUGAGUUUAAUCCUCAAAGCUCACA
RNAcentral lists this transfer RNA (72 nucleotides) under Culcita novaeguineae. RNAcentral's name for it is "tRNA-Ala". It matches the Rfam family "tRNA". From Rfam's summary of the family: Transfer RNA (tRNA) molecules are approximately 80 nucleotides in length. The record is from RNAcentral. Lineage: Eukaryota; Metazoa; Echinodermata; Asteroidea; Valvatida; Oreasteridae.